Molecule: ribosomal RNA, 492 nt
Filed under: uncultured bacterium
Lineage: Bacteria
Description: partial 16S ribosomal RNA
Rfam family: Bacterial small subunit ribosomal RNA
Source: RNAcentral
AGUGAACGCUGGCGGUAGGCCUAACACAUGCAAGUCGAACGGCAGCACAGUAAGAGCUUGCUCUUACGGGUGGCGAGUGGCGGACGGGUGAGGAAUACAUCGGAAUCUACUUUUUCGUGGGGGUUAACGUAGGGAAACUUACGCUAAUACCGCAUACGCCCUACGGGUGAAAGCAGGGGAUCUUCGGACCUUGCGCGAUUGAAUGCGCCGAUGUCGGAUUAGCUAGUUGGCGGGGUAAAGGCCCACCAAGGCGCCGAUCCGUAGCUGGUCUGAGAGGAUGAUCGGCCACACGGGAACUGAGACACGGUCCAGACUCCUACGGGAGGGAGCAGUGGGGAAUAGUGGACAAUGGGCGCAAGCCUGAUCCAGCCAUACCGCGUGGGUUGAGAAGGCGUUCGGGUUGGAAAGCCCGUUUGUUGGGAAAGAAAAGCAGCAGGUUAUUACCCCGCUUUUCUGACGGUACCCAAAGAAUAAGCACCGGCUAACUUCGUG